UACAUGUGGGGCAAGCGUUGUUCGGAAUUACUGGGCAUAAAGGGUGCGUAGGUGGUUUGUUAAGUCAGGGGUGAAAUCCCGCGGCCCAACCGUGGAACUGCCUUUGAUACUGGGUGUCUUGAGUGUGAGAGAGGUAUGUGGAACUCCGAGUGUAGAGGUGAAAUUCGUAGAUAUUCGGAAGAACACCAGUGGCGAAGGCGACAUACUGGCUCAUUACUGACGCUGAGGCUCGAAAGCGUGGGGAGCAAACAGG
Molecule: ribosomal RNA, 253 nt
Filed under: uncultured bacterium
Lineage: Bacteria
Description: partial 16S ribosomal RNA
Rfam family: Bacterial small subunit ribosomal RNA
Source: RNAcentral